This 504-nucleotide ribosomal RNA is filed under the name uncultured bacterium. RNAcentral describes it as "partial 16S ribosomal RNA". It matches the Rfam family "Bacterial small subunit ribosomal RNA", at positions 28 to 523 of the family's 1533-position model. The record is from RNAcentral.
GAUGAACGCUAGCGGCAGGCUUAACACAUGCAAGUCGAGGGGCAGCAUAAAUAGUAGCAAUACUAUUGGUGGCGACCGGCGGACGGGUGCGUAACGUGUAUACAACCUUCCCUAAACAGGGGGAUAAUCUGGAGAAAUUCGGUCUAAUACCCCAUAACAUCAGAGCAGGCAUCUGUUUUGGUUAAAAUUUCCGGAGGUUUAGGAUGGGUAUGCGUAGCAUUAGCUAGUUGGUGAGGUAACGGCUCACCAAGGCGACGAUGCUUAGGGGGACAGAGAGGUUAACCCCCCACACUGGUACUGAGACACGGACCAGACUCCUACGGGAGGCAGCAGUGAGGAAUAUUGGUCAAUGGGCGGAAGCCUGAACCAGCCAUGCCGCGUGCAGGAUGACGGCUCUAUGAGUUGUAAACUGCUUUUGUACGAGGGUAAAGUGGGCUACGUGUAGCCUUUUGAAAGUAUCGUACGAAUAAGGAUCGGCUAACUCCGUGCCAGCAGCCGCGGUAA